AACGCGAAGAACCUUACCUGGGCUCGAAAUGUAGUGGAAUGGGGUGGAAACAUCCCCGUCUCGCAAGAGACUGCUAUAUAGGUGCUGCAUGGCUGUCGUCAGCUCGUGUCGUGAGAUGUUGGGUUAAGUCCCGCAACGAGCGCAACCCUUAUCCCUAGUUGCCAUCGGGUCAAGCCGGGCACUCUAGUGAAACCGCCCAGGAUAACUGGGAGGAAGGUGGGGAUGACGUCAAGUCCUCAUGGCCUUUAUGUCCAGGGCUACACACGUGCUACAAUGGUCGGUACAAACCGUCGCAAACUCGCGAGAGGGAGCUAAUCGGAAAAAGCCGGCCUCAGUUCGGAUUGGAGUCUGCAACCCGACUCCAUGAAGCUGGAAUCGCUAGUAAUCGCGGAUCAGAACGCCGCGGUGAAUACGUUCCCGGGCCUUGUACACACCGCGCAUA
RNAcentral lists this ribosomal RNA (442 nucleotides) under uncultured bacterium. Its description in RNAcentral is "bacterial SSU rRNA". It matches the Rfam family "Bacterial small subunit ribosomal RNA", at positions 958 to 1398 of the family's 1533-position model. The record is from RNAcentral.